CCUACGGGUGGCAGCAGUCGGGAAUAUUGCGCAAUGGAGGAAACUCUGACGCAGUGACGCCGCGUGCAGGAAGAAGGUUUUCGGAUUGUAAACUGCUUUAGACAGGGAAGAAACAAGACAGUACCUGUAAAAUAAGCUCCGGCUCACUACGUGCCAGCAGCCGCGGUAAUACGUAGGGAGCAAGCGUUAUCCGGAUUUAUUGGGUGUAAAGGGUGCGUAGACGGGACGUCAAGUUGGUUGUGAAAUCCCUCGGCUUAACUGAGGAACUGCAACCAAAACUAACUUUCUUGAGUGCUGGAGAGGAAAGGGGAAUUCCUAGUGGAGCGGUGAGAUGCGUAGAUAUUAGGGGGAACAACAGGGGAGAGGGGGAGU
This 372-nucleotide ribosomal RNA is filed under the name uncultured bacterium. Its description in RNAcentral is "partial 16S ribosomal RNA". It matches the Rfam family "Bacterial small subunit ribosomal RNA", at positions 338 to 726 of the family's 1533-position model. The record is from RNAcentral.